Chiloscyllium plagiosum (whitespotted bambooshark) is the source of this 272-nucleotide non-coding RNA. The record is from RefSeq and is a predicted model, not a curated record. Lineage: Eukaryota; Metazoa; Chordata; Chondrichthyes; Orectolobiformes; Hemiscylliidae.
GGCGCCAAGGCCGACGACAGGAGGAUUCUGGGAUUGGAGUUGGACAAGGACCACCAUUCCGUCUUCGUGGCGUUCCCAGGAUGCGUGGCCCGAGUGCCCCUCAGCCGCUGCGAGGGCUACGGCAAGUGCAAACGGGCGUGCAUCGGCUCGCGGGAUCCGUACUGCGGUUGGCUCAGGUCAGGUCGUUGUGUCACCCUCCACCCUGGUACCAGGGGUGGAUACCAACAGGACGUGGAGCAUGGCAAGAUCCAACACAUGGACCGGUGCGAGGG